AUGGUCGGAGGUCAAAGGCGAGCGGGGGCGGCGGCCGGGAUUCGCGUGUGGUAUUCACCGGCUGUCUGCUGGCUGUGUGCAUGGUGCACAAGUGGUAGUAGCAGCAGCCACGGGCUUUUCUCUGAAUUUGCAUCAAUAACAACAAUAGCAGGGUCAUGGACAAGAUCAUCAAAUCCCUCUGAAUUCUUGCCGGUUCAGGUUCUUUCCAUGCACCGGCUAAUCGAGGUGGUGAAGCACAUGUUAGCCGUGUGGAUGGACCUCGGCAACCCCAGCUUCGUCAAUGUCGCCGGUAACGCGUCCGAGAUGAUGUCGCCGAAGUAG
RNAcentral lists this ribosomal RNA (321 nucleotides) under Triticum aestivum (bread wheat). RNAcentral's name for it is "partial small subunit ribosomal RNA". Lineage: Eukaryota; Viridiplantae; Streptophyta; Magnoliopsida; Poales; Poaceae. The record is from RNAcentral.